RNAcentral lists this ribosomal RNA (404 nucleotides) under uncultured bacterium. Its description in RNAcentral is "bacterial SSU rRNA". It matches the Rfam family "Bacterial small subunit ribosomal RNA", at positions 356 to 757 of the family's 1533-position model. The record is from RNAcentral.
GAGGAAUAUUGGGCAAUGCCCGCAAGGGUGACCCAGCAACGCCGCGUGGAGGAUGAAUGUCGUAAGAUUGUAAACUCCUGUUAGAGGGGAAGAAUAGUACCGGUUGGACCGGUAUAUGACUGUACCCUCAGAGAAAGCCCCGGCUAACUACGUGCCAGCAGCCGCGGUAAUACGUAGGGGGCAAGCGUUGUCCGGAUUUACUGGGUGUAAAGGGCGCGCAGGCGGGAUAAAAAGUCAGUGGUGAAAUCCUACAGCUUAACUGUAGAACUGCCUUUGAUACUUUUAUUCUUGAGUUCGGGAGAGAGAGACGGAAUUCCAGGUGUAGUGGUGAAAUACGUAGAUAUCUGGAAGAACACCAGUUGCGAAGGCGGUCUCUUGGUCCGACACUGACGCUGAGGCGCGAA